AGUGAACGCUGGCGGUAGGCCUAACACAUGCAAGUCGAACGGCAGCACAGUAAGAGCUUGCUCUUACGGGUGGCGAGUGGCGGACGGGUGAGGAAUACAUCGGAAUCUACUUUUUCGUGGGGGAUAACGUAGGGAAACUUACGCUAAUACCGCAUACGACCUACGGGUGAAAGCAGGGGAUCUUCUGACCUUGCGCGAUUGAAUGAGCCGAUGUCGGAUUAGCUAGUUGGCGGGGUAAAGGCCCACCAAGUCGACGAUCCGUAGCUGGUCUGAGAGGAUGAUCAGCCACACUGGAACUGAGACACGGUCCAGACUCCUACGGGAGGCAGCAGUGGGGAAUAUUGGACAAUGGGCGCAAGCCUGAUCCAGCCAUACCGCGUGGGUGAAGAAGGCCUUCGGGUUGUAAAGCCCUUUUGUUGGGAAAGAAAAGCAGCAGGUUAAUACCCCGCUGUUCUGACGGUAACCAAAGAAUAAGCACCGGCUAACUUCGUG
RNAcentral lists this ribosomal RNA (492 nucleotides) under uncultured bacterium. RNAcentral describes it as "partial 16S ribosomal RNA". It matches the Rfam family "Bacterial small subunit ribosomal RNA", at positions 29 to 507 of the family's 1533-position model. The record is from RNAcentral.